UAGGGAAUAUUAGCAAUGGGCGCAAGCCUGAACUAGCAACGCCGCGUGUGCGAAGAAGGCCUUCGGGUCGUAAAGCACUUUUUGAGAGGAUGAGGAAGGACGGUACUCUCAGAAUAAGUCUCGGCUAACUACGUGCCAGCAGCCGCGGUAACACGUAGGAGGCAAACGUUAUCCGGAUUUACUGGGCGUAAAGCGCGUGUAGGUGGUUUGGUAAGUAGGGCGUGAAAGCUCCUGGCUCAACUGGGAGAGGACGUUCUAAACUGCCAAGCUUGAGGAUGGUAGAGGGAGGUGGAAUUCCGGGUGUAGCGGUGGAAUGCGCAGAUAUCCGGAGGAACACCAGUGGCGAAGGCGGCCUCCUGGACCACUCCUGACACUCAGACGCGAAAGCUAGGGUAGCAAACGG
This 403-nucleotide ribosomal RNA is filed under the name uncultured bacterium. Its description in RNAcentral is "bacterial SSU rRNA". It matches the Rfam family "Bacterial small subunit ribosomal RNA", at positions 355 to 775 of the family's 1533-position model. The record is from RNAcentral.